This 253-nucleotide ribosomal RNA is filed under the name uncultured bacterium. RNAcentral's name for it is "partial 16S ribosomal RNA". It matches the Rfam family "Bacterial small subunit ribosomal RNA", at positions 524 to 776 of the family's 1533-position model. The record is from RNAcentral.
UACGUAGGGGGCAAGCGUUGUCCGGAAUCAUUGGGCGUAAAGAGCGUGUAGGCGGCUCGGUAAGUCCGCUGUGAAAGUCCGGGGCUCAACCCUGGAAUGCCGGUGGAAACUGUCGAGCUAGAGUCCGGAAGAGGCGAGUGGAAUUCCUGGUGUAGCGGUGAAAUGCGCAGAUAUCAGGAGGAACACCAAUGGCGAAGGCAGCUCGCUGGGACGGUACUGACGCUGAGACGCGAAAGCGUGGGGAGCAAACAGG